This 477-nucleotide ribosomal RNA is filed under the name uncultured bacterium. Its description in RNAcentral is "partial 16S ribosomal RNA". It matches the Rfam family "Bacterial small subunit ribosomal RNA", at positions 28 to 507 of the family's 1533-position model. The record is from RNAcentral.
GAUUAACGCUGGCGGCGUGCCUAACACAUGCAAGUCGAACGAUGAAACUUAAAUGAUUUCUUCGGAAUGAACUUAAGUGGAUUAGUGGCGGACGGGUGAGUAACGCGUGAGUAACCUGCCUUACACAAGGGGAUAGCCGUUGGAAACGACGAAUAAUACCCUAUGAAACUAUCACUUCGCAUGAAGCGAUAGUCAAAGUGUUAGCGGUGUAAGAUGGACUUGCGUCUGAUUAGCUAGUUGGUGAGAAAAAAGCCCACCACGGCAACGAUCAGUAGCCGGCUUGAGAGAGUGUACGGCCACAUUGGGACUGAGACACGGCCCAGACUCCUACGGGAGGCAGCAGUGGGGAAUUUUGCACAAUGGGGGAAACCCUGAUGCAGCGACGCCGCGUGAUUUAGAAGGCCUUCGGGUUGUAAAAAUCUUUUGUAUAGGAAGAAAAUGACAGUACUAUACGAAUAAGGUCCGGCUAAUUACGUG